Molecule: small nucleolar RNA, 83 nt
Organism: Neltuma alba
Lineage: Eukaryota; Viridiplantae; Streptophyta; Magnoliopsida; Fabales; Fabaceae
Product: small nucleolar RNA R38
Exons: 1
Source: RefSeq, a predicted model, not a curated record
UGCUGUGGAUGAUGAGAAAAACAAUUUUACAGUUAUCCCUGGCUGAUAUAGCGGAUGCUGAAAGUUUGUAAUCUGACACGCAC